This 253-nucleotide ribosomal RNA is filed under the name uncultured bacterium. Its description in RNAcentral is "partial 16S ribosomal RNA". It matches the Rfam family "Bacterial small subunit ribosomal RNA", at positions 524 to 776 of the family's 1533-position model. The record is from RNAcentral.
UACGUAGGGUGCGAGCGUUGUCCGGAAUUACUGGGCGUAAAGAGCUCGUAGGUGGUUUGUCGCGUUGUUCGUGAAAUCUCACGGCUUAACUGUGAGCGUGCGGGCGAUACGGGCAGACUAGAGUACUGCAGGGGAGACUGGAAUUCCUGGUGUAGCGGUGGAAUGCGUAGAGAUCCGGAAGAACACCGGUGGCGAAGGCGGUCUGCUGGGCCAAGACUGACGCUGAGGCGCGACAGCGUGGGGAGCAAACAGG